This 497-nucleotide ribosomal RNA is filed under the name uncultured bacterium. RNAcentral describes it as "partial 16S ribosomal RNA". It matches the Rfam family "Bacterial small subunit ribosomal RNA", at positions 28 to 507 of the family's 1533-position model. The record is from RNAcentral.
GAUGAACGCUGGCGGCGUGCCUAAUACAUGCGAGUCGAGCGAACAGACGAGGAGCUUGCUCCUCUGACGUUAGCGGCGGACGGGUGAGUAACACGUGGAUAACCUACCUAUAAGACUGGGAUAACUUCGGGAAACCGGAGCUAAUACCGGAUAACAUGUUGAACCGCAUGGUUCAACAGUGAAAGACGGUCUUGCUGUCACUUAUAGAUGGAUCCGCGCCGCAUUAGCUAGUUGGUAAGGUAACGGCUUACCAAGGCGACGAUGCGUAGCCGACCUGAGAGGGUGAUCGGCCACACUGGAACUGAGACACGGUCCAGACUCCUACGGGAGGCAGCAGUAGGGAAUCUUCCGCAAUGGGCGAAAGCCUGACGGAGCAACGCCGCGUGAGUGAAGAAGGUCUUCGGAUCGUAAAACUCUGUUAUUAGGGAAGAACAAAUGUGUAAGUAACUAUGCACGUCUUGACGGUACCUAAUCAGAAAGCCACGGCUAACUACGUG